Molecule: ribosomal RNA, 664 nt
Filed under: Ruegeria sp.
Lineage: Bacteria; Pseudomonadati; Pseudomonadota; Alphaproteobacteria; Rhodobacterales; Roseobacteraceae
Description: bacterial SSU rRNA
Rfam family: Bacterial small subunit ribosomal RNA
Source: RNAcentral
GAACGAACGCUGGCGGCAGGCCUAACACAUGCAAGUCGAGCGCGCCUUUCGGGGUGAGCGGCGGACGGGUUAGUAACGCGUGGGAAUAUACCCUUUUCUACGGAAUAGCCUCUGGAAACGGAGAGUAAUACCGUAUGAGCCCUUCGGGGGAAAGAUUUAUCGGGAAAGGAUUAGCCCGCGUUAGAUUAGGUAGUUGGUGGGGUAAUGGCCUACCAAGCCUACGAUCUAUAGCUGGUUUUAGAGGAUGAUCAGCAACACUGGGACUGAGACACGGCCCAGACUCCUACGGGAGGCAGCAGUGGGGAAUCUUGGACAAUGGGGGCAACCCUGAUCCAGCCAUGCCGCGUGAGUGAUGAAGGCCUUAGGGUCGUAAAGCUCUUUCRCCUGUGAAGAUAAUGACGGUAGCAGGUAAAGAAACCCCGGCUAACUCCGUGCCAGCAGCCGCGGUAAUACGGAGGGGGUUAGCGUUGUUCGGAAUUACUGGGCGUAAAGCGCACGUAGGCGGACUGGAAAGUUGGGGGUGAAAUCCCGGGGCUCAACCCCGGAACUGCCUCCAAAACUAUCAGUCUAGAGUUCGAGAGAGGUGAGUGGAAUUCCAAGUGUAGAGGUGAAAUUCGUAGAUAUUUGGAGGAACACCAGUGGCGAAGGCGGCUCACUGGCUCGA